RNAcentral lists this unclassified non-coding RNA (253 nucleotides) under Hevea brasiliensis (rubber tree). The record is from RNAcentral. Lineage: Eukaryota; Viridiplantae; Streptophyta; Magnoliopsida; Malpighiales; Euphorbiaceae.
AAUGUUGGGGACUCCCGUGCUGUAUUGGGAAGACUAGUUAAGGCGACCGGAGAGGUUCUGGCUGUUCAGUUGUCAACAGAGCACAAUGCAAGCAUAGAGUCUGUGAGGCAAGAAUUGCAUUCAUUACACCCGGAUGAUCCUCAGAUUGUUGUUCUGAAGCAUAAUGUUUGGCGAGUAAAGGGACUCAUUCAGAUUUCUAGGUCAAUUGGCGAUGUAUACCUGAAGAAGGCAGAGUUUAAUCGCGAGCCACUAU